RNAcentral lists this ribosomal RNA (254 nucleotides) under uncultured bacterium. Its description in RNAcentral is "partial 16S ribosomal RNA". It matches the Rfam family "Bacterial small subunit ribosomal RNA", at positions 524 to 776 of the family's 1533-position model. The record is from RNAcentral.
UACGUAGGGUGCGAGCGUUGUCCGGAAUUAUUGGGCGUAAAGAGCUCGUAGGCGGUCUGUCGCGUCGGUCGUGAAAUCCCUCGGCUUAACCGGGGAACUGCGUCUGAUACUGGAUGGCUUGAGUUUGGGAGAGGGAUGCGGAAUUCCAGGUGUAGCGGUGAAAUGCGUAGAUAUCUGGAGGAACACCGGUGGCGAAGGCGGCAUCCUGGACCAACACUGACGCUGAGUGAGCGAAAGCCAGGGGAGCAAACGGG